CUCUCUCUCUCUUCUCUUCCUCCUUCUUCUCUUUCCCUCUUCUUCCUCUCUCUCCCUCCCCCCAUGCACAGAGAAAGGCCAUGUGCACACACAGUGAGAAGACUCCUUCUGCAAACCAGGAAAAGCCCUGACUAGAAACAGCCCUGCCCCAUCUCCAUCAUGGAUUUGGCUUCCCGAACCAGUAGAAAAGAGGCUUCUGUUGUUGAAGCUGCCAGCCUGUGGACCCUGUGGCGGUCCCAGGAGGGGACUAGCACACCGGGGAAGCGCCUUCAGCACAGAGCUCAGAAAGUGAACCUCAGCCUGGGGAGCGGCAAACUCCCACACAUGGGGUCACAUACCCCGUGCGCACUGUGUGUCACAUGGUGUGUACCUGCAUCUUCCAACGGAGAAGAUGCCGGGAGAGCUGGGAGGGGGCCGGACCCCACAAGCCAGCCUGGGCCUGUCCUGCAGCGGGCAAAUGUCGAUGAGGCCUCAUGCUCACAUCCCAUCCAUGAAGGAAGGUCAGUGAGUGACCACACAAUAAAGCUUGCAUGGCUUUUACUGCUCUU
RNAcentral lists this long non-coding RNA (548 nucleotides) under Chinchilla lanigera (long-tailed chinchilla). Its description in RNAcentral is "lncRNA (ENSCLAG00000028647.1)". Lineage: Eukaryota; Metazoa; Chordata; Mammalia; Rodentia; Chinchillidae. The record is from RNAcentral.